AGUCGACGGUAACAGGUCUUCGGAUGCUGACGAGUGGCGAACGGGUGAGUAAUACAUCGGAACGUGCCCGAUCGUGGGGGAUAACGCAGCGAAAGCUGUGCUAAUACCGCAUACGAUCCACGGAUGAAAGCGGGGGACUCGCAAGGGCCUCGCGCGGACGGAGCGGCCGAUGGCAGAUUAGGUAGUUGGUGGGAUAAAAGCUUACCAAGCCGACGAUCUGUAGCUGGUCUGAGAGGACGACCAGCCACACUGGGACUGAGACACGGCCCAGACUCCUACGGGAGGCAGCAGUGGGGAAUUUUGGACAAUGGGCGCAAGCCUGAUCCAGCCAUGCCGCGUGCAGGAUGAAGGCCUUCGGGUUGUAAACUGCUUUUGUACGGAACGAAAAGACUCUGGUUAAUACCUGGGGUCCAUGACGGUACCGUAAGAAUAAGCACCGGCUAACUACGUGCCAGCAGCCGCGGUAAUACGUAGGGUGCAAGCGUUAAUCGGAAUUACUGGGCGUAAAGCGUGCGCAGGCGGUUAUAUAAGACAGAUGUGAAAUCCCCGGGCUCAACCUGGGAACUGCAUUUGUGACUGUAUAGCUAGAGUACGGCAGAGGGGGAUGGAAUUCCGCGUGUAGCAGUGAAAUGCGUAGAUAUGCGGAGG
RNAcentral lists this ribosomal RNA (648 nucleotides) under uncultured bacterium. RNAcentral's name for it is "bacterial SSU rRNA". It matches the Rfam family "Bacterial small subunit ribosomal RNA", at positions 60 to 704 of the family's 1533-position model. The record is from RNAcentral.